UGGCUCUCGCAUCGAUGAAGAACGCAGCGAAAUGCGAUAAGUAAUGUGAAUUGCAGAAUUCAGUGAAUCAUCGAAUCUUUGAACGCACCUUGCGCUCCUUGGUAUUCCGAGGAGCAUGCCUGUUUGAGUGUCAUUAAAUUCUCAACCUUCUACUGGUUUUGUAGAUGGCUUGGAUGCGGGGGUUAUUUUUGCAGGCUUUCACAAGUCAGCUCCCCUGAAAUGCAUUAGCCGGUACUCUCUGACCGUCUAUUGGUGUGAUAAUUAUCUACGCCGUGGACUGACGAACUUGUGCUGCUUAUAAUCGUCCUGUACGGGACAAUUUAUGACAUUUUGACCUCAAAUCAGGUAGGACUACCUGCUGA
This 362-nucleotide unclassified non-coding RNA is filed under the name uncultured fungus. RNAcentral's name for it is "partial contains 5.8S ribosomal RNA and internal transcribed spacer 2". The stretch from base 1 to 133 matches the Rfam family "5.8S ribosomal RNA", at positions 22 to 154 of the family's 154-position model. Lineage: Eukaryota; Fungi. The record is from RNAcentral.